UAAAAUAACUUUUGUAGCGUAAGAGUAAAAUAAAUUUAUUCAUAUAGUAAUAAAAGAUAAUUAAAGUAUGAAAUUUCGUUUACAGUGACACGUGGGCCCUCAACUAACCAAGAAGGUGUAGAGCUACGAACCCUUACUUCCUAUGAUGCAACUCUGAGAUUAAUUCUCGUCUUAAUCAACUAUCAACAAACUGUCCUGAGCCUGUAAAAUGGAUAGGAAGAAGGGUGAGAUUAAAUAAUCCCAGUGAGUAAACAAUUACCAUCAAAAGCAUUUAAAACCGAGUAAAUGGAGACAAUAUAAAAACGUUAUAUCUCAAUAAUGUUCAUAACACAAAAUUCAUUUCAAUCUAUACCAAAUAAUUUCUUUUCAUCAAAAUUUCCCAGCUUAUGAAUUUCUUAAACUUGGCCCCUGCCAGAAUCAUUCUCGCGGGUACCUUCGUCAAGGUAUCCCACUGAGACCGCCAAGGCUAUUCAAUGAUCCAUACCCAUAAACAUGUUUUCACAUCUAACACACAGCUGUUCCUUGGCGUUGGCUGAGUCUCACUCUCACGUGGUGGCCCGAACGUGAGGUGUACUCAAAUCAUACCUCAAGAGAUACUUCACCCAACAUCUCCCCCGUGAGGUAAAUAUAUAAUUGAGUUACCGUGCUCCUCUCAUAGGCAGUCCACGAAAACUCCCACCACUGCAAUGACCGUUUAAUAUACCACUAGACCCAUAAAAUUUUCAAUAGCAUAAUAUGGCGAAUAAAAUUUAAUCCAGUCUAUCGAGACCAAUCCAAAACUGUUCAUAUAUUUCAUGUCAACCCCAAAAAUUUAGCCAUCAUGCUACCAUAGUGUCAUAAGCCCCAAUUUCAAUAACAUAUAAAAUCAUAAAUUUCAACACAGUCUCCAUAUACUCAAUUUUCCCAUAACAAUAUUAGUUUUCAAAACCAAUAUAAAUCUCAUUUUUAUUAAAAAAAUAUUUUAAUUAGAAAACAUAAUAUUUUAUAAUUUAAGCUCACCAUUCAAUAAAAGCAUCAAACAGGUAUAAUAACUCUAGAUAUUUAAGAUGAUAAGUUGUCCACUCACAGUUCUAGGAGUCAAUGUACUCCCAAUCUCAGUCUUCAAGCACAAUUUU
Molecule: long non-coding RNA, 1115 nt
Filed under: Theobroma cacao (cacao)
Lineage: Eukaryota; Viridiplantae; Streptophyta; Magnoliopsida; Malvales; Malvaceae
Description: long non-coding RNA (TCAC_LNC006497)
Source: RNAcentral